RNAcentral lists this transfer RNA (73 nucleotides) under Cordylochernes scorpioides. RNAcentral describes it as "tRNA-Thr". It matches the Rfam family "tRNA". From Rfam's summary of the family: Transfer RNA (tRNA) molecules are approximately 80 nucleotides in length. Their secondary structure includes four short double-helical elements and three loops (D, anti-codon, and T loops). The record is from RNAcentral. Lineage: Eukaryota; Metazoa; Arthropoda; Arachnida; Pseudoscorpiones; Chernetidae.
UCCAGGGUAGACUAGUGGACAUGGCACCUGCUCGGUAAACAGAAGGUUGUGGGUUCGAUUCCCGCCCCUGGAC